UGAGUGCGAGCUGCUACGGCAGCGAAGUUGGUGAUGUCAUGCUUCCAAGAAAAGCCCUAUACCCGUUAAGGCAUCAUGGCCUGUACCCGAAACCGACACAGGUGGGGUGGUAGAGAAUACCGAGGGGCGCGAGGUAACUCUCUCUAAGGAACUCGGCAAAUGGCCCCGUAACUUCGGGAGAAGGGGUGCCACCGCAAGGUGGUCGCAGUGAAGAGGCCCAGGGGACUGUUUACCAAAAACACAGGUCUCCGCUAAGUCGCAAGACGAUGUAUGGGGGCUGACGCCUGCCCAGUGCCGGAAGGUUAAGGAAGCUGGUCAGCGCAAGCGAAGCUAGCGACUGAAGCCCCGGUGAACGGCGGCCGUAACUAUAACGGUCCUAAGGUAGCGAAAUUCCUUGUCGGGUAAGUUCCGACCCGCACGAAAGGCGUAACGAUCUGGGCGCUGUCUCGGAGAGAGGCUCGGCGAAAUAGAAUUGUCUGUGAAGAUGCGGACUACGUGCACCCGGACAGAAAGACCCUAUGAAGCUUUACUGUAGCUUGGUAUUGUGCCCGGGCUCGCAAUGCGCAGGAUAGGUGGGAGGCUUUGAUCAUCGGCUUGCGGGUCGAUGUGAGCCAACGGUGAGAUACCACUCUUUGCGAGCUAGGGUUCUAACGGCCACCCGUCAUCCGGGGGCCGGACAGUACCUGGUGGGCAGUUUGACUGGGGCGGUCGCCUCCUAAAAGGUAACGGAGGCGCGCAAAGGUUUGCUCAGGCUGGUUGGAAAUCAGCCGACGAGUGUAAAAGCAGAAGCAAGCUUGACUGUGAGACCAACAAGUCGAACAGGGAGGAAACUCGGCUUUAGUGAUCCGACGGUUCUGAGUGGAAGGGCCGUCGCUCAACGGAUAAAAGUUACUCUAAGGAUAACAGGCUGAUCUCCCCCAAGAGUUCACAUCGACGGGGAGGUUUGGCACCUCGAUGUCGGCUCAUCGCAACCUGGGGCUGAAGUCGGUCCCAAGGGUUGGGCUGUUCGCCCAUUAAAGCGGUACGCGAGCUGGGUUCAGAACGUCGUGAGACAGUUCGGUCCAUAUCCGGUGCACGCGCAGGAAUAUUGAGAGGAUUUCUCCCUAGUACGAGAGGACCGGGAGGAACGCACCUCUGGUGUACCAGUUAUCGUGCCAACGGUAAACGCUGGGUAGCCAUGUGCGGAGUGGAUAACCGCUGAAAGCAUCUAAGUGGGAAGCCCACCUCAAGAUGAGUAUUCCCAUGGCGUAAGCCAGUAAGGUCACGGGAAGAACACCCGUUGAUAGGCUCUAUGUGGAAGCGCAGUAAUGCGUGAAGCAGAGGAGUACUAAUAGACCGAGGGCUUGACCA
This 1350-nucleotide ribosomal RNA is filed under the name metagenome. RNAcentral describes it as "bacterial LSU rRNA". It matches the Rfam family "Bacterial large subunit ribosomal RNA", at positions 1564 to 2925 of the family's 2925-position model. The record is from RNAcentral.